CCUGAUUCUAGCUGAUGAUGAAGAUGAAUAGAUAGAUAGAUAGAUAGAUAGAUAGAUAGAUAGAUAGAUAGAUAGAUAGAUAGAUAGAUAGAUCAGUAAAUAGAUAGAUAGAUAGAUAGAUAGAUAGAUAGAUAGAUAGAUAGAUCAAUAGAUCAGUAAAUAGAUAGAUAGAUAGAUAGAUAGAUAGAUAGAUAGAUAGAUAGAUAGAUAGAUAGAUAGAUAGAUAGAUGAUAGAUAGAUAGAUAGAUAGAUCAAUAGAUAGAUAGAUAGAUAGAUCAGUAAAUAGAUAGAUAGAUAGAUAGAUAGAUAGAUAGAUAGAUAGAUAGAUAGAUAGAUAGAUAGAUAGAUAGAUAGAUAGAUAGAUAGAUAGAUUGAUAGAUAGAUAGAUAGAUAAGUAAAUAGAUAGAUAGAUAGAUAGAUAGAUAGAUAGAUAGAUAGAUAGAUAGAUAGAUAGACAAACGAAUAAAUAAAUAAAUAAAUGCAUUUUAACACGCGUGCAGAAUAAAACUCAACAAUUAAGAUGUGAAUAGUAGAUUUAAAAAUAAUAAUAAAAAAAUUAAUGCCGAACUACAAAACAAGAAGGAAAACACUCGACUACAGCUGUUCGCUUG
Molecule: long non-coding RNA, 611 nt
Organism: Ictalurus punctatus (channel catfish)
Lineage: Eukaryota; Metazoa; Chordata; Actinopteri; Siluriformes; Ictaluridae
Source: Ensembl